UACGUAGGGUGCAAGCGUUGUCCGGAAUUAUUGGGCGUAAAGAGCUCGUAGGCGGUCUGUCGCGUCUGCUGUGAAAACUCGGGGCUUAACCCCGGGCCUGCAGUGGGUACGGGCAGACUAGAGUGCGGUAGGGGAGACUGAAAUUCCUGGUGUAGCGGUGAAAUGCGCAGAUAUCAGGAGGAACACCGGUGGCGAAGGCGGUUCUCUGGGACGGUACUGACGCUGAGACGCGAAAGCGUGGGGAGCGAACAGG
Molecule: ribosomal RNA, 253 nt
Filed under: uncultured bacterium
Lineage: Bacteria
Description: partial 16S ribosomal RNA
Rfam family: Bacterial small subunit ribosomal RNA
Source: RNAcentral